RNAcentral lists this ribosomal RNA (540 nucleotides) under Triticum aestivum (bread wheat). Its description in RNAcentral is "partial small subunit ribosomal RNA". Lineage: Eukaryota; Viridiplantae; Streptophyta; Magnoliopsida; Poales; Poaceae. The record is from RNAcentral.
AUGAACGAGUUCCAUGCAGGCACCACUGAUCUUCUGCGCAUCAAUACUGCCCACAUUCUGCUCCUUCCCAAAAAAUCAGAUGCUUCUACACCUGAGAACUAUAGGCCGUUUUCCCUCCAAAAUUUCUCAAUUAAGCUUAGGUCCAAGUGCCUCUCCUUAAGGGCUCAAACCCUCGUCACUCAAAUCAUCCACUACAAUCAAACCGGCUUUGUCAAAGGACGUGGGAUUGCCGAAAACUUUCUUCACGCUACUGAUAUUGUCCAAACUUGUUUCAAGCGACGGCUACCUGCAAUCGUCCUUAAGCUAGAUUUUCACAAGGCCUUUGACUCAGUUUCUUGGACUGUCCUUGCCAACAUCCUGAAGGCUCAAGGAUUCCCACCGCUCUGGUGCCGUUGGGUGCAAAGCUUAAACACCACAGCCAGCUCGGCUGUUCUCCUGAACGGUAAGCCGGGGCACUGGUUUCAGUGCCGCCAAGGCUUGCGACAAGGCGAUUCCCUAUCUCCAUAUCUCUUCAUCUUGGUGGUUGAUGUCUUAAAAUGA